This 1139-nucleotide long non-coding RNA is filed under the name Pandoravirus salinus. Its description in RNAcentral is "putative ncRNA". The record is from RNAcentral.
AGACGCCGUUGACGUCGCGCACCCGACGCAUAUGCGUCCACAGACCGCCGGCGUGACGGAAAAACUGGCGGUGGCAAAAGUAGACGUAGCGCACCGAGUCGACGGGUUCCAACGCUGCGUGCGCACAUUGUCUCGAUCGAGCGCGCUCCUCGGCCACCAGUCGCUCGGUGGCCUCUUGCGACGAGACCACGUCGGCCGCCCAUGCGAUGGACGCCGGCAGGGCACACUCGUCGUCGACAUUGUCUUUGCAUUUGGCGUCUCUGUUGUCGGUCGUCGCGGCGGACCGCCAUCGCGUCACAGCCUCGCAAAAGGCCACGACGACCGCAUUCUCGCGGUGCAUGCACAAGACGGAUUCGGGCAUCGAACAAUAACGACCAUAGACAUGGCAAGUGUCUGGCGGUGCAUGCGCAGCCGACGCGGGCGCGCGCGAAAAACGCCGGGCAAUCUCUUUGGCGGCGCGGUAGACCAGGAUCGCGCUGGUUGGAUCGCCGACAACGUCGGGCAAGAGCGCGAUGCACGCGCGAUGGACGGCGGCCACAAACGUGGCCUCGCGCGCAAUCAGUGUGCUAUCUUUGGGUACGCCGUCGAGAAGCGUGCCACGGCGCGACGAUCCGUGGCGCCACACGAGGGCAAAGUCCGGGUGACGCAUGCUCGCGCAGGCGGCCGCGCAAAAGGUCUCGUACGCCUCGUGUGCCAAGUUGUCAUCUACGCCAUCGCGUCCCGUCGGAUUGAUUAGUGGCAGUGCACUCGCGGCAACCGCAUUGUUGGGCGGCGCGAUCGAGUCGUAUCCGUCGUUCGAGACCGACGCGCGUCCACAUCGCGUCGCACGCCACGGUCCCCCGGCGACCUCGCGGGCAAAGCACGCGGCCGACGGAUCGAGGUGAAAGGCGCAGACGUCGGGCGCGGCGCGUGGCUCGACGAAAAAGGGCCUCAUGCGGGCGUCCACGAGGGCGCGAUUGAAGCGGUCUUCGGUGUCGUCAUUGUCUUUGCCAAAGGACGCCACCACGGCAAGCGCCUGCUCGCGGUCCGUGAUGGUGUCUUGUGUCGGUUCCUGCAUGUCCUUGCGCCUGUCGUCGUACCGCUCCGCCGUGGCGCUCCGUCGUCGCGCCCUUUUUGGACACCAAAGAAAAAAAGAAAAU